This 1548-nucleotide long non-coding RNA is filed under the name Brassica napus (rape). RNAcentral describes it as "long non-coding RNA (BNAP_LNC006435)". Lineage: Eukaryota; Viridiplantae; Streptophyta; Magnoliopsida; Brassicales; Brassicaceae. The record is from RNAcentral.
UUUAUGGUUAGGUUUAGGUAGGGUUUUAGGGUUAGGUUUAGGAAGGGUUUAGGGUUAGGUAGGGUUUAGGGUUAGGUAGGGUUUUUAGGGUUAGGCAGGGUUUACGGUUAGAAAGGAUUUAGGGUUAAGUAGGGUUUAGGGUUAAACAUGGUUUAGGGUAGGUAGGGUUUAGGGUUAGGUAGAGUUUAGGGUUAGGUUUAGGUAGGGUUUUAGGGUUAGGCUUAGGAAGGGUUUAGGGUUAGGUUUAGGUAGGGUUUUAGGGUUAAGGGUUUAGGGUUAGCAGGGUUUAACGUUAGGUAGUGUUUAGGGUUAGAAAAGGUUUAGGGUUAGGUAGGGUUUAGGGUUAGUAAGGGUUUAGAGUUAGAAAGGGUUUAGGGUUAGGUAGGGUUUAGGAUUAAAUAGAGUUUAGGGUUAGGUAGAGUUUAGGGUUAGGUAGGGUUUAGGGUUGGUAGGGAAUAGGGUUAGGUAGGGUUCAGGGUUAGUAAGGUUUAGGGAUAGGUAGGGUUUAGGGUUAGGUAGGGUUUAGGGUUAGGAAGGGUUUAGGGUUAGGUAGGGUUUAGAAUUAGGUAGGGUUUAGGGCUAGAAAGGGUUUAGGGUUAGGUUAGGUUUAGGGUUAGGGUUAUGUAGGGUUAGGGUUUGGUAGGGUUUAGAAUUCGGCAGGGUUUAGGGUUAGGUUUAGGUAGGGUUUAGAAUUAGGUAGGGUUUAGGGUUAGCAGGGUUUAAGAUUAGAAAGAGUUUAGGGUUAGGUAGGGUUUAGGGUUACGCAGGGUUUAGGGUUAGGUCAGGUUUAGGGUUAGGCAGGGUUUAGGGUUAGGUCAGGUUUAGGGUUAGAAGGAGUUUAGGGUUAGGUAGAGUUUAGGUUACGCAGGGUUUAGGGUUAGGUCAGGUUUAGGGUUAGGCAAGGUUUAGGGUUAGGUCAGGUUUAUGGUUGGAUGGGAUUUAGGGUUUAGAAUUAGGCAGGGUUUAGGGUUAUAAAGGGUUUAGGGUUAGGAUUAGGUAGGGUUUAGAAUUAGGUAUGGUUUAGGGUUAGCAGGGUUUAGGGUUAGAAAGGAUUUAGGGUUAGGUAGGGUUUAGGGUUAGGCAGGGUUUAGGGUUAGAUCGGGUUUAGGGUUAGGCAGGGUUUAGGGUUAGGUCAGGUUUAGGGUUAAAUGGGGUUUAGGGUUAGUAGGGUUUAGGGCUAGGUAGGGUUUAGGGUAGGUAGGGUUUAGGGUAGCUAGGGUUCAGGGUUAGGUAGGGUUCAGGGUUAGAUAGGGUUUAGAAAUAGGUAGGGUUUAGGGUUAGUAGGGUUUAAGGUUAGGUAGGGUUUAAGGUUAGGUAGGGUUUAUGGCUAGAAAGGGUUUUGGGUUAGGUAGGGUUUAGGGUUAGAUAGGUUUAGGUAGGGUUUAGGGUUUGGUAGGGUUUAUGGUUAGUAGGGUUUAAAGUUUGGUUUAGAAUAAUGCUUAGGAUUAUAGGGUUUAAGGUUUGUUUGUUUUUUUGUUUAUGCAUUUAGUAAUGAGUUUUUCGGAUAAAAUUUUAUAUUAAUAUUAUUGAUUCAUAAUUUUUCUUAAA